Molecule: long non-coding RNA, 960 nt
Filed under: Mus caroli (Ryukyu mouse)
Lineage: Eukaryota; Metazoa; Chordata; Mammalia; Rodentia; Muridae
Description: lncRNA (MGP_CAROLIEiJ_G0003034.1)
Source: RNAcentral
GUCUGCUUCCCAACCAUCAGUUGACCCAAGGCGCAGGCCUCUGCAGCUCCAGCUUGAGUCACCCAAUUGGCCCUGCCCAGGACUGAUCCAUCCUCAGGAAUGGUUCUGACGACAGAAGAGUGUCCAGGAAGGCUGGCUCACCCCAGCUCUCCCAUACCUGCUCUUUAGCUCACGUGUGUAUAUGACAGGAUGACUGCGGUGGGGUCUCUCACCGGCGGGCUGUGGGGGCCCUCGAGGCAGGUCCAGCUCUGGUGGGUGGCUGCUCCGUGUGAUGAUGACCGGCUCCUCCAUCACGUUGAUGCUGUUACACUGCAUGAGGUCCUGCAGCAGGUUGAAGAUAUCCUCUGCCCUCGAACACUUGAAUGCAAAGAUGCCUGGGGAAGCUCCAGUACAGGGUAACUGAAGUUUGUAUAAACAGGACGAGAAAGACGGCAUGACAUGUAAAAGCUGGACAAGACCUGAAGGACAGAAGUGGUGAUACGUGGCUGUAAUCCCACACUUGGGAGGGAUGAGGUUCAUGCCAGGAAAGGCCCUUCAGCAAUCAACCCAGAACACGCAUUGCUUUGUGCUGUCUUGGGAGAGACAGCUCUGUCUGCGUGCAGCACAGUCCCAAGAAGGACUCCUUGUGCUGAGCAUGUGUGGACCUAAGAAGCAAGGCCAGACCUCAUGUCCCAACCUCAAGCUCGUGAGCAGCCUGCCAGUCCCUGGGCCCUGGCUGUAGAGGGCACCUGGGCAGGGGAUACAGUAUACUCCACUGCCUACAGGUGAAGGUGGACAAAGGUCAGGCUCUGGAAGGUUACGCUGUAUAUGAGAGACCCAAGAUCCUGCUGCCCAUGUCUCUGUGCAAGCUCCUCAGCCCUGAGUAGCCAGUCUCCUGCCUGACUUCUCUUCCACUGUGCACGGAGGCAGCUCAGGAGGAGUUUUCCUAUGCAAAGGCAAUAAAGACCUUGGAACCAUGGC